Molecule: ribosomal RNA, 468 nt
Filed under: uncultured bacterium
Lineage: Bacteria
Description: partial 16S ribosomal RNA
Rfam family: Bacterial small subunit ribosomal RNA
Source: RNAcentral
GAUGAACGCUGGCGGCGUGCUUAACACAUGCAAGUCGAACGGAAAGGCCCUGCUUUUGUGGGGUGCUCGUGUGGCGAACGGGUGAGUAAAACGUGAGUAAACCGCCCUUGACUUUGGGAUAACUUUAGGAAACUGGGGCUAAUACCCGAUAGGAGCUCCUGCUGCAUGGUGGGGGUUGGAAAGUUUCGGCGGUGCGGGAUGGAUUAGCGGCUUAUCAGCUAGUUGGUGGGGUAGUGGCAUACCAAGGCUUCGACGGGUAGCCGGCAUGGGCGGUUGACCGGGGUCAAGACGACUAAGGGAGGGCGCAGUAGGCAACGGGAGGCAGCAGUCGAGAACAUUGCGCAGUAAGCGGACGUGUGUUACGGCAGCGUUGCGUUCGGGAAGACGGGCUACUAGGGAUGAACCGCUUUGUCAGGUGAUGAGGCGUGAUUGACGGUAAUGGGUAAAAAAGCACCGGCUAACUACGUG